UACGUAGGGUGCGAGCGUUGUCCGGAAUUACUGGGCGUAAAGAGCUCGUAGGUGGUUUGUCGCGUUGUUCGUGAAAUCUCACGGCUUAACUGUGAGCGUGCGGGCGAUACGGGCAGACUAGAGUACUGCAGGGGAGACUGGAAUUCCUGGUGUAGCGGUGGAAUGCGCAGAUAUCAGGAGGAACACCGGUGGCGAAGGCGGGUCUCUGGGCAGUAACUGACGCUGAGGAGCGAAAGCGUGGGGGAGCGAAACAGG
This 255-nucleotide ribosomal RNA is filed under the name uncultured bacterium. RNAcentral describes it as "partial 16S ribosomal RNA". It matches the Rfam family "Bacterial small subunit ribosomal RNA", at positions 524 to 776 of the family's 1533-position model. The record is from RNAcentral.